UUCAUUAAACUGUUCUAUGUGCCUAACAUAUUAGUUACAAAGGACGCUUUUUAAUUACAAAGGUGAGACUGUAUUUGCUGGUAUGGCAGUGACAGCAUUUAGAUUGACAGCAAGUUCUUACUCCAACCAUAGGUGGUCCAAGUCUGGGUCUCAGAUGUGCCUGUACUGAGGGUCAAUUAAAGAAUAAGCACAAGGUUUACAGUGGCCCUACUACUUCUAUCAGCUCAUUAACUAUGAAUAAUGAAUUAUGUUUUACCAUAGGAGCCGGCACCAUGCAGUACAAUUGCACUGGAAGUCUGAAGUGCUGAUAUCAAGAUGUUUAUACAUUAGAAAUCUGCCUGUCUGAAUAUGGGCUGUUCAAAUUGGUUUAAUUAAAAUAAGAACCAACUUAAACCUUCAUCCAUCCCUCAGACCGGAUCACUUCUUCCCCCUCAUUUCUCACACUUUGGUGGUGGGUACCUUGGCCCUUUGCUGUAUCUGAUGCAUUUUGGGGCUUCCCCAGCAGUGACACUCAGUGACUAUUGUGCUUAAGGAAUUCCAAGUUUUGUACACCUGGGAGCUUUCCAAAUGCACUGUGCACUCUGGGAAAUCCAGCAUACACAAAGAAUCCCUCCUCCCUAAAACAAAUGCUCCUGUGUGGGAGUUACCAAGCCUUCUCCCUAAAAAUUUUUUUGGAGUAUAUGGAGCAAAUAAUUUUCCCAAGGGUGUUGCCGCCAUCAGAGGAGAAGAAGGACUUUCCCCAACAAAAGUAAGGACAGAGGAGAUGGACUGCAGGAGGAGACUGCCUCAAAAUAUUUGGAUAAUUCAGAUGACCUUCAAAUACUUAAUGGAUGGGCAUACUUUGGGGUCUAUGCAAAUUCUAAGAGCAAACAUUUGCCUAUUGUCCAGCAGAUCUCUUCCCUACAUAUCCAAGGCCUGAGUCAGACAGCAUCAAAGAAGGUUUGCCUCAUCUUUCCAAGUAAUAUCUAAACUGUGUUGUGUGGGCAUGUGUAUAGGAGGAUGGAGGAGGAUUUCUCCCCCAUCCCUGCAUAAUUAUGAGGCAAUAGGACCAUAACUUUUUUGGGCUUUUCCACUGAUUUCAAUGGAUGCAGAAUCAGAUAGUUGCACAGUAGUGGUGGGUCCUGGCUAAUGUGCUUAACAUGUCUUCUUCAGUUCUGAAUGUCUUCAGCACCGGAGCAUUGUCUUCAGUGGGAGUGGACGGUGUUCAUCACUUCACAAUACUUGUCCCUAAAACUGCUACAUGAGCAAUUUAAAAUGCACUCUUAUGAACCUUCAAACUCCUUUUAAUUAUUUAGGGAAUUUGGCUUGAGACAAAGCUCACCAGAAGAUAUAUUUAACAGAUGCUGCAAUACAGAACUCAUUUCUUUUGAAAUAAUCAUAUUAUUUAGUCUUCUAUAUUUCCUAUCCUAUUUAUGAAGCAAUGUGCUAAUGGUUAAUUAUGCUCACUAUUAAAAGUUCACACCUUUUUUCCAGUCUGAAUUUGUCUAGUUCAACUUUCAGGCAUGUGAUUGUGUUGUAUCUUUCUCUGCUAAAUUGAAGAUUAUUAAAUAUUUGUUCCCCAUGUAGAUACUUAUAGACUGUAAUCAAGUCACCCCUUAACCUUCUCUUUGUCAGAGCUCAAUUUAUUUAGCUUAUCACCAUAAGGCAUGUUUGCUAAUCCUUUCAUCAUAAAUUCUUAUAGCUCUUCUCUGAAACCUCGUCAAUCUAGCAAAGUCCUUCUUGCAUUGUGGGAAGAAGAAAUGGACACUGUAUUCUAGCAGCAAUCACACCAGUGCCAAAUACAGAUGUAAAAUAACCUCUCUACUGCUACUGGAGAUUCCCCUGUUUAUGCAUCCAAGGACAGUAUUCGUCCUUUUGGCCAUAACAUCACACAGAGAGCUCAUGUUCAGCUGAUUAUCCACCAUGACCCUCCAGCCCCA
RNAcentral lists this long non-coding RNA (1919 nucleotides) under Chrysemys picta bellii (western painted turtle). RNAcentral's name for it is "lncRNA (ENSCPBG00000000952.1)". Lineage: Eukaryota; Metazoa; Chordata; Testudines; Emydidae. The record is from RNAcentral.